Molecule: ribosomal RNA, 253 nt
Filed under: uncultured bacterium
Lineage: Bacteria
Description: partial 16S ribosomal RNA
Rfam family: Bacterial small subunit ribosomal RNA
Source: RNAcentral
UACGUAGGUGACAAGCGUUGUCCGGAUUUACUGGGCGUAAAGGGCUCGUAGGCGGCCAACUAAGUCGGAUGUGAAAUCCCCAGGCUCAACCUGGGAACUGCAUCCGAUACUGGAUGGCUUGAAUUCGGGAGAGGGAUGCAGAAUUCCAGGUGUAGCGGUGAAAUGCGUAGAUAUCUGGAGGAAUACCGGUGGCGAAGGCGGCAUCCUGGACCGACAUUGACGCUGAGGAGCGAAAGCCAGGGGAGCAAACGGG